AUGCUGGAUUCGACAGCAUAUAUACUGAAAUUGGAACGAUACAGAGAAGAUUAACAUGGCCCCUUCUCAAGGAUGACACAAAAAUUCAUGAAGUUUUCCAUAUUUUU
Mesocricetus auratus (golden hamster) is the source of this 107-nucleotide small nuclear RNA. NCBI's taxonomy places the organism in Eukaryota, Metazoa, Chordata, Mammalia, Rodentia, Cricetidae. The record is from Ensembl.